RNAcentral lists this ribosomal RNA (242 nucleotides) under uncultured bacterium. Its description in RNAcentral is "partial 16S ribosomal RNA". It matches the Rfam family "Bacterial small subunit ribosomal RNA", at positions 15 to 244 of the family's 1533-position model. The record is from RNAcentral.
GAUCCUGGCUCAGGAUGAACGCUAGCUACAGGCUUAACACAUGCAAGUCGAGGGGAAACGACAUCGAAAGCUUGCUUUUUGAUGGGCGUCGACCGGCGCACGGGUGAGUAACGCGUAUCCAACCUGCCCAUCACUUGGGAAUAACCUUGCGAAAGUAAGACUAAUGCCCAAUGACAUCCCACGAAGGCAUCCGAAUGGGAUUAAAGAUUUAUCGGUGAUGGAUGGGGGAUGCGUCUGAUUAG